AUUGAACGCUGGCGGCAGGCCUAACACAUGCAAGUCGGGCGAAGCGGCGGACGGGUGAGUAAUGCCUAGGAAUCUGCCUGGUAGUGGGGGAUAACUCCCGGAAACGGGCGCUAAUACCGCAUACUAGCAGAUGAGCCUUGGUCGGAUUAGCUAGUUGUUGGGGUAACGGCUUACCAAGGCGACGAGCCGUAACUGGUCUGAGAGGAUGAUCAGCCACACUGGAACUGAGACACGGUCCAGACUCCUACGGGAGGCAGCAGUGGGGAAUAUUGCACAAUGGGCGAAAGCCUGACGCAGCCAUGCCGCGUGUGUGAAGAAGGUCUUCGGAUCGUAAAGCACUGUAAGUUGGGAGGCGUUACCUACAGAAGAAGCACCGGCUAACUCCGUGCCAGCAGCCGCGGUAAUAC
RNAcentral lists this ribosomal RNA (407 nucleotides) under uncultured bacterium. RNAcentral describes it as "partial 16S ribosomal RNA". It matches the Rfam family "Bacterial small subunit ribosomal RNA", at positions 30 to 526 of the family's 1533-position model. The record is from RNAcentral.